AACGAACGCUGGCGGCAGGCCUAACACAUGCAAGUCGAACGCCCUGGCAACAGGGAGUGGCAGACGGGUGAGUAACGCGUGGGAAUCUACCUUGUGGUACGGAACAACCAAGGGAAACUUUGGCUAAUACCGUAUGAGCCCUUCGGGGGAAAGAUUUAUCGCCAUAAGAUGAGCCCGCGUAGGAUUAGCUAGUUGGUGAG
This 200-nucleotide ribosomal RNA is filed under the name uncultured bacterium. Its description in RNAcentral is "partial 16S ribosomal RNA". It matches the Rfam family "Bacterial small subunit ribosomal RNA", at positions 29 to 256 of the family's 1533-position model. The record is from RNAcentral.